RNAcentral lists this ribosomal RNA (764 nucleotides) under uncultured bacterium. RNAcentral describes it as "bacterial SSU rRNA". It matches the Rfam family "Bacterial small subunit ribosomal RNA", at positions 9 to 773 of the family's 1533-position model. The record is from RNAcentral.
GAGUUUGAUCAUGGCUCAGGAUGAACGCUAGCGGGAGGCUUAACACAUGCAAGCCGAGGGGUAUAGUUAGCUUGCUAACUAGAGACCGGCGCACGGGUGCGUAACGCGUAUGCAACUUGCCCUACUGAAAAGGAUAGCCCUUCGAAAGGAGGAUUAAUACUUUAUAACAGAUUUAAUGGCAUCAUUAGAUUUUGAAAGAUUUAUCGCAGUAGGAUAGGCAUGCGUAAGAUUAGUUAGUUGGUGAGGUAACGGCUCACCAAGACGAUGAUCUUUAGGGGGCCUGAGAGGGUGAACCCCCACACUGGUACUGAGACACGGACCAGACUCCUACGGGAGGCAGCAGUGAGGAAUAUUGGACAAUGGGUGGAAGCCUGAUCCAGCCAUCCCGCGUGUAGGAUGACGGCCUUAUGGGUUGUAAACUACUUUUAUCUGGGGAUAAACCUACUCACGUGUGAGUAGCUGAAGGUACCAGAAGAAUAAGCACCGGCUAACUCCGUGCCAGCAGCCGCGGUAAUACGGAGGGUGCAAGCGUUAUCCGGAUUUAUUGGGUUUAAAGGGUCCGUAGGCGGAUUAAUCAGUCAGUGGUGAAAUCUCAUAGCUUAACUAUGAAACUGCCAUUGAUACUGUUAGUCUUGAGUGAUGUUGAAGUUGCUGGAAUGUGUAGUGUAGCGGUGAAAUGCUUAGAUAUUACGCAGAACACCAAUUGCGAAGGCAGGUGACUAAACAUCAACUGACGCUGAUGGACGAAAGCGUGGGGAGCGAAC